This 253-nucleotide ribosomal RNA is filed under the name uncultured bacterium. Its description in RNAcentral is "partial 16S ribosomal RNA". It matches the Rfam family "Bacterial small subunit ribosomal RNA", at positions 524 to 776 of the family's 1533-position model. The record is from RNAcentral.
UACGUAGGUGGCGAGCGUUGUCCGGAUUUAUUGGGCGUAAAGGGCGCGCAGGUGGUGCGGUAAGACUGCCGUGAAAUCUCCCGGCUCAACUGGGAGGGUGCGGUGGAGACUGCCGGACUGGAGGCACUCAGAGGCCGGUGGAAUUCCCGGUGUAGUGGUGAAAUGCGUAGAGAUCGGGAGGAACACCAGUGGCGAAGGCGGCCGGCUGGGGGUGACCUGACGCUGAGGCGCGAAAGCGUGGGGAGCGAACCGG